CCAAUAGCGUAUAUUAAAGUUGUUGCAGUUAAAAAGCUCGUAGUUGAAUUUCGGGGUUAGUAGGUUGGUCAUGCCUCUGGUAUGUACUGGUCUCACUGAUUCCUCCUUCCUGAUGAACCGUAAUGCAAUUAAUUUGGUGUUUCGGGGAAUCUGGAGUGUUACGUUGAAAAAAUUAGAGUGUUUAAAGCAAGCUCACGCUUGAAUAACUGAGCAUGGAAGAAUGAAAUAGGCGGUUCGAUCCUAUUUCGUUGGUUUCUAGGAUUGACGUAAUGAUUAAUAGGGAUAGUUGGGGGCAUUAGUAUUCAAUUGUCAGAGGUGAAAUUCUUGGAUUUAUUGAAGACUAACUACUGCGAAAGCAUUUGCCAAGGAUGUUUUCAUUAAUCAAGAACGAAAGUUAGGGGAUCGAAGACGAUCAGAUACCGUCGUAGUCUUAACCAUAAACUAUGCCGACUAGGGAUCGGAUGAUGUUAAUUUUUUAAUGACUCAUUCGGCGCCUUACG
Molecule: ribosomal RNA, 500 nt
Filed under: uncultured Glomeromycotina
Lineage: Eukaryota; Fungi; Glomeromycota
Description: partial small subunit ribosomal RNA
Rfam family: Eukaryotic small subunit ribosomal RNA
Source: RNAcentral